AACCAACAGGGAUUGCCCUAGUAACGGCGAGUGAAGCGGCAACAGCUCAAAUUUGAAAUCUGGCGCAAGCCCGAAUUGUAAUUUGUAGAGGAUGCUUCUGGGUUGCCACCGGUCUAAGUUCCUUGGAACAGGACGUCAUAGAGGGUGAGAAUCCCGUAUGUGACCGGCCGGCGCCCUCCACGUAGCUCCUUCGACGAGUCGAGUUGUUUGGGAAUGCAGCUCUAAAUGGGAGGUAAAUUUCUUCUAAAGCUAAAUAUUGGCCAGAGACCGAUAGCGCACAAGUAGAGUGAUCGAAAGAUGAAAAGCACUUUGGAAAGAGAGUUAAAAAGCACGUGAAAUUGUUGAAAGGGAAGCACUUACAGCCAGACUUGUCGGCGGUGUUCCGCCGGUCUUCUGACCGGUUCAUUCGCCGUCGGCAGGCCAGCAUCACUUGGGGCCGCCGGAGAAAGGCCGGGGGAAAGUAGCUCCGCUUCGGCGGAGUGUUAUAGCCCCCGGUGCAAUACGGCGCGUCCCGGGUGAGGUCCGCGCUUCGGCUAGGAUGCUGGCGUAAUGGCUGUUAGUGGCCCGUCUUGAAACACGGACCAAGGAGUCGACCAUCUGUGCGAGUGUUCGGGUGUCAAACCCCUACGCGGAAUGAAAGUGAACGGAGGUGGGAACCUUAGGGUGCACCAUCGACCGAUCCUGAUGUCUUCGGAUGGAUUUGAGUAAGAGCAUAGCUGGUCGGACCCGAAAGAUGGUGAACUAUGCCUGAAUAGGGUGAAGCCAGAGGAAACUCUGGUGGAGGCUCGCAGCGGUUCUGACGUGCAAAUCGAUCGUCAAAUUUGGGUAUAGGGGCGAAA
This 839-nucleotide ribosomal RNA is filed under the name Capnodiales sp. RNAcentral describes it as "partial large subunit ribosomal RNA". It matches the Rfam family "Eukaryotic large subunit ribosomal RNA", at positions 63 to 928 of the family's 3401-position model. The record is from RNAcentral. Lineage: Eukaryota; Fungi; Ascomycota; Dothideomycetes; Capnodiales.